AACGUCCUUAUCGGGGUCGAGCGUCAGUUCCGUGAUCGUGAAGUGAGAGCUGCGUUGCUGACACCUGAAUCACAACACUUUCUCACCAACAAAAUAUUUUGUUCGGUGAAAUUUUUGGAAAU
Molecule: non-coding RNA, 122 nt
Filed under: Paramuricea clavata
Lineage: Eukaryota; Metazoa; Cnidaria; Anthozoa; Malacalcyonacea; Plexauridae
Description: U4atac minor spliceosomal RNA
Rfam family: U4atac minor spliceosomal RNA
About the family: U4atac is an essential component of the minor U12-type spliceosome complex which is required for removal of the rarer class of eukaryotic introns (AT-AC, U12-type).
Source: Rfam by way of RNAcentral